Long non-coding RNA from Mauremys mutica (yellowpond turtle), 914 nucleotides. RefSeq lists it as uncharacterized. The record is from RefSeq and is a predicted model, not a curated record. The transcript is spliced from 3 exons. Lineage: Eukaryota; Metazoa; Chordata; Testudines; Geoemydidae.
GUCUGCUGAAGCCGCUGCCCUCAGUCUGCCUGCCCGCCCCUUACUUGCCUCCUUGCUCUGGAGGAGGACAGAAAAAGGAACGUAGGAGAGAAAAAAAAUAGAUGAAGGCCACCAGAAGCAUUCGAUCGAAGUUAAUGGCAUUUACUAGGGACAGUGGCUUUGGAAGAAGAGGGUAACAAGACCUGAAUCUCUAGCAAACAGCAGCAACAGAGCAGAAAAAAUUAUAUUGACAAAAUCUUUCAACUUCUUUAUACAUCGUAAAGAAAGAAAAGAACUCCCCUCCCAUUUUGGGUCAUCUUUACUGCAAAAGGCUCUGGAGACAUUGAAAAUAAGUUUAAAAUGCUAUUUUUUUUAAACACAAUAUACUUUGCCUUCCAACUUAAUUGCUUUGGCUUGUGAAUUCCUUUUAUUGCCUAGAAGUUUUCACCCCUUGAUUAUAUUUGUUUGAAGUUUGAACAUUUAAAACUGAAUGCAUUUCUCUCUGCUUAUGUACACUAUGUACAAAUGGCUUUGUGUACUUGGCUGAUGGAAUCUAGCUUUCAAAAUAAUGCAUAAUCAUUCAUUAUCUUUGGCACCCACAUCUGAAAAAUUUGGCCUGAAGCAACUUGCUAAAAACUGCAUAGGAAGUUAGCGCCAGAGCAAUGAUUAGAACUCAGGCGUUGCUGGCUCUUUGUCCGAGGCAUAACACCAGAGCAUGCCCUCAGUAUCUUUUUGUUGUUUUUUUUUUAAAUGUCUACAGCCUUCUUGCUUUGUUUGAGUUACAAUCUGCAUUUACCAAGACAAAACAAAAAAACCUGUGACAUACAAAUUACAUGUUUCUAGCAAGAUUAGUUGUAAAGUGCUCUAUUAUUGUCACCUAAAUAAUCACCCAUUUGGAGUUUAGAAUGGUUCAAUUAGAAAUAAUAUCCAUAUCA